This 239-nucleotide long non-coding RNA is filed under the name Elaeis guineensis (African oil palm). RNAcentral describes it as "long non-coding RNA (EGUI_LNC028101)". Lineage: Eukaryota; Viridiplantae; Streptophyta; Magnoliopsida; Arecales; Arecaceae. The record is from RNAcentral.
CAAGCAUAUAAAAUACCAUGUUAUUUUUAUGAAUAUGGUACAAAGUUAAGGUAUCAUGAUAUACAGUUAAAUAAAUAUGAUAUAUAAUUAUUUUAUUUUGAUACAUAAUUAAUUCAUUAUGAUAUAUAGUUAGUUUUAUUUUCAGAGAUUAUAGAUCAUGUCUUUCCGAGGUCGGAGCUGUCACAGCUGAGGAGAGAGCUCUGCAGGAGAGAGAGCUCUCAUGUAGCUAGCUCGCAUGG